RNAcentral lists this ribosomal RNA (490 nucleotides) under uncultured bacterium. RNAcentral describes it as "partial 16S ribosomal RNA". It matches the Rfam family "Bacterial small subunit ribosomal RNA", at positions 29 to 505 of the family's 1533-position model. The record is from RNAcentral.
AGUGAACGCUGGCGGUAGGCCUAACACAUGCCAGUCGAACGGCAGCACAGUAAGAGCUUGCUCUUACGGGUGGCGAGUGGCGGACGGGUGAGGAAUACAUCGGAAUCUACUUUUUCGUGGGGGGUAACGUAGGGAAACUUACGCUAAUACCGCAUACGACCUACGGGUGAAAGCAGGGGAUCUUCGGACCUUGCGCGAUUGAAUGAGCCGAUGUCGGAUUAGCUAGUUGGCGGGGUAAAGGCCCACCAAGGCGACGAUCCGUAGCUGGUCUGAGAGGAUGAACACACACUGUGAAAGUGACACGCUCCCGAGACUCCGGGGGGGGACAGGAGGGGAAAAUUUGGGACAGGGGGCGCAACCGUGCCACAGACACACCGCGUGGGAGAAGAAGGCCUUCGUUUUGUAAAGCUCUUUUGUGGGGAAAAAAAAACAGCAGGUUAAUACCCCGCUUUUGACGGGGCACCAAAAGAAAACGCCCCGGAAAUCUGCG